Suncus etruscus (white-toothed pygmy shrew) is the source of this 133-nucleotide non-coding RNA. RefSeq annotates it as small Cajal body-specific RNA 11. The record is from RefSeq and is a predicted model, not a curated record. Lineage: Eukaryota; Metazoa; Chordata; Mammalia; Eulipotyphla; Soricidae. The transcript has a single exon.
UGGCCCUGGCCUAUGCUUUGUCUGCUGUGUGCAAUUCUAAUAGUGAACUGGCAGGACAUACAGCAAUCGCCCUCUCUGUUCAGGAGGGAUGCCCUGAGCAUAGGCCUGGAUCUUAAAGGCCUGACAAGACAAU